This 492-nucleotide ribosomal RNA is filed under the name uncultured bacterium. RNAcentral's name for it is "partial 16S ribosomal RNA". It matches the Rfam family "Bacterial small subunit ribosomal RNA", at positions 29 to 507 of the family's 1533-position model. The record is from RNAcentral.
AGUGAACGCUGGCGGUAGGCCUAACACAUGCAAGUCGAACGGCAGCACAGUAAGAGCUUGCUCUUACGGGUGGCGAGUGGCGGACGGGUGAGGAAUACAUCGGAAUCUACUUUUUCGUGGGGGAUAACGUAGGGAAACUUACGCUAAUACCGCAUACGACCUACGGGUGAAAGCAGGGGAUCUUCGGACCUUGCGCGAUUGAAUGAGCCGAUGUCGGCUUAGCUAGUUGGCGGGGUAAAGGCCCACCAAGGCGACGAUCCGUAGCUGGUCUGAGAGGAUGAUCAGCCACACUGGAACUGAGACACGGUCCAGACUCCUACGGGAGGCAGCAGUGGGGAAUAUUGGACAAUGGGCGCAAGCCUGAUCCAGCCCUACCGCGUGGGUGAAGAAGGCCUUCGGGUGGUAAAGCCCUGUUGUUGGGAAAGAAAAGCAGCAGGUUAAUACCCCGCUGUUCUGACGGUACCCAAAGAAUAAGCACCGGCUAACUUCGUG